GCGAGUACGGGGGCGGGCGCGGUGGUAAUAGGUAUGUCCCAAGCGUUAGCCGGAAUUAUUGGGCGUAAAGCGGGCGGAGGAGGUUAGUUAAGUCUGAUGUGAAAGCCUACGGAUCAACCGUAGAAUUGCAUCGGAAACUGGAUGACUUGAGUGCAGUAGAGGAGAGUGGAACUCCAUGUGUAGCGGUGAAAUGCGUAGAUAUAUGGAAGAACACCAGAGGCGAAGGCGGCUCUCUGGACUGUAACUGACGCUGAGGCUCGAAAGUGUGGGUAGCAAACAGGAUUAGAUACCCUGGUAGUC
Molecule: ribosomal RNA, 300 nt
Filed under: uncultured bacterium
Lineage: Bacteria
Description: bacterial SSU rRNA
Rfam family: Bacterial small subunit ribosomal RNA
Source: RNAcentral